Molecule: ribosomal RNA, 521 nt
Filed under: Streptococcus pyogenes
Lineage: Bacteria; Bacillati; Bacillota; Bacilli; Lactobacillales; Streptococcaceae
Description: bacterial SSU rRNA
Rfam family: Bacterial small subunit ribosomal RNA
Source: RNAcentral
CUUCGGGGGCAGAGUGACAGGUGGUGCAUGGUUGUCGUCAGCUCGUGUCGUGAGAUGUUGGGUUAAGUCCCGCAACGAGCGCAACCCUUGAUCUUAGUUGCCAGCAUUCAGUUGGGCACUCUAAGGUGACUGCCGGUGACAAACCGGAGGAAGGUGGGGAUGACGUCAAAUCAUCAUGCCCCUUAUGACCUGGGCUACACACGUGCUACAAUGGACGGUACAAAGAGCUGCAAGACCGCGAGGCUAAGCCAAUCCCACAAAUCUGUUCUCAGUUCGGAUCGCAGUCUGCAACUCGACUGCGUGAAGCUGGAAUCGCUAGUAAUCGCGGAUCAGCAUGCCGCGGUGAAUACGUUCCCGGGCCUUGUACACACCGCCCGUCACACCACGAGAGUUUGUAACACCCGAAGUCGGUGAGGUAACCUUUUGGAGCCAGCCGCCGAAGGUGGGACAGAUGAUUGGGGUGAAGUCGUAACAAGGUAGCCGUAUCGGAAGGUGCGGCUGGAUCACCUCCUUUCUAAGGA